Molecule: unclassified non-coding RNA, 140 nt
Filed under: uncultured fungus
Lineage: Eukaryota; Fungi
Description: sequence contains ITS1, 5.8S rRNA gene
Source: RNAcentral
ACAAAUUCCAAACACUCGUCUUUGCCUGAGGGUGAGGGUCCCUGGGACUUCGGUCCCUAGAUCCGAGCCCGCAGGUCAUAUGACAAACAUUCACAUUCACAAUUGACAACAUCAGGAUUUCCACAACUUAAUCGUUAAAA